RNAcentral lists this ribosomal RNA (420 nucleotides) under uncultured bacterium. RNAcentral's name for it is "bacterial SSU rRNA". It matches the Rfam family "Bacterial small subunit ribosomal RNA", at positions 98 to 513 of the family's 1533-position model. The record is from RNAcentral.
GCGGACGGGUGAGUAACGCGUAGGAAUCUACCUAGUAGAAGGGGAUAGCCCGGGGAAACCCGGAUUAAUACCGUAUACCUCCUUCGGGAGAAAGAAGGCCUCUCUUUGAAGCUUUCGCUAUUAGAUGAGCCUGCGUAAGAUUAGCUUGUUGGUGAGGUAAAGGCUCACCAAGGCGACGAUCUUUAGCUGGUCUGAGAGGACGAUCAGCCACAUUGGGACUGAGACACGGCCCAGACUCCUACGGGAGGCAGCAGUGGGGAAUAUUGGACAAUGGGCGCAAGCCUGAUCCAGCCAUACCGCGUGUGUGAAGAAGGCCUUCGGGUUGUACAGCACUUUAAGCAGGGAGAAAAAGUUAUAAGUUAAUACCUUAUAACCGUGAUGUUACCUGCAGAAUAAGCACCGGCUAAUUCCGUGCCAGCA